This is a non-coding RNA of Puccinia sorghi, 93 nucleotides long. The record is from the annotation of a GenBank genome assembly. NCBI's taxonomy places the organism in Eukaryota, Fungi, Basidiomycota, Pucciniomycetes, Pucciniales, Pucciniaceae.
AACUGCCUGCAGUUGACAUGCAGCAUGCUCCAGCCAUGCUGCCAUCCAAACUCCAGUUAAUUUUUUGGCACAGUCACUGUGCAGUAUGUGCAG